Molecule: small RNA, 68 nt
Filed under: Flavobacterium weaverense
Lineage: Bacteria; Pseudomonadati; Bacteroidota; Flavobacteriia; Flavobacteriales; Flavobacteriaceae
Description: Flavo-1 RNA
Rfam family: Flavo-1 RNA
Source: RNAcentral
UAAUAGCCCUGAUGGAAGCGGCAUCCUCGUAGCAUUGCGGAAAGAUACAGCGGACAGCAGGACAAAAC